Thalassophryne amazonica is the source of this 108-nucleotide long non-coding RNA. RefSeq lists it as uncharacterized. NCBI's taxonomy places the organism in Eukaryota, Metazoa, Chordata, Actinopteri, Batrachoidiformes, Batrachoididae. The transcript has 3 exons. The record is from RefSeq and is a predicted model, not a curated record.
CCCUCACGGCGGGGGGGAAAAACAUAUUCUCCUUUAUCAUUGGUGGAAAAACACAUGAGGUAAACCAAUCAAAACCACCAAUUCCAUGUGGAUCUAGCUGGGACCACA